CCUACGGGUGGCAGCAGUGAGGAAUAUUGGUCAAUGGCCGUAAGGCUGAACCAGCCAAGUCGCGGGAAGGAAGAAGGAUCUAUGGUUUGUACACUUCUGUUAUGGGGGAAUAAAGGUAUCCACGUGUGGAUAUUGGCAUGUACCCUAUGAAUAAGAAUCGGCUAACUCCGUGCCCCCAGCCGCGGUAAUACGGAGGAUGCGAGAGUUAUACGGAUUUAUUGGGUUUAAAGGGUGCGUAGGUUGUUUUUUAAGUCAGCGGUGAAAGUUUGUGGCUCACACAGAAAAUUGACGAUGAAACUGGAAGACUUGAGUGUGUUUGAGGGAGGCGGAAUGCGUGGUGUAGCAGUGAAAUGCAUAGAUAUCACGCAGAAC
RNAcentral lists this ribosomal RNA (372 nucleotides) under uncultured bacterium. RNAcentral's name for it is "partial 16S ribosomal RNA". It matches the Rfam family "Bacterial small subunit ribosomal RNA", at positions 338 to 707 of the family's 1533-position model. The record is from RNAcentral.